UCUUCACUUUCUGCCAUGUGUGUGAUGUUAUCUGCAUAUCUGAGGUUAUUGAUAUUUCUCCCGGCAAUCUUGAUUCCAGCCUGUGCUUUAUCUAAUAAUAUUUAUGGAAUGCCUGCUGCCUGUUACCUACAUGGCAAUAAAAAAUGGUCAAAAAUACAGAUUUGUUGCUUGAGCUCACAGAGCUUAUGUUCUUAAAUUAGCAAACAGUAACUUGCUAGUGAAAUUUAUUCUGUGUAUUAUAUAUAUAUAUAUAUAUGUAAGUUUUAAAAAUCAUGUUACUGUACCCAAGAUAUUUUUCUACCAGUUUUAGUCUCUAAAGGAUUUGACCGGUGGUACAUAGAUUUUAAUUGUGCCAAAUGUGGAUUAGUGUUAUUCAGUCUGAAUUUUUAUUUAGUGCUAACCACAUGCAGUGUACUCCCUCAUGAAUGCAAGAUAAGGAAGCCAGAAGACUAAAUGUUUCGUUACCUUAUGACAUCUUGAACUUUACCCUGGGCAACAGGAACCAGAAGGUUUAUGGAAUAGUUUAAAACUAGCAGGAUUCCAAAAUAAUGGUCAAAACUGCUCAUUUAGUUUUUGAGAAUAAAGUUUUUAUCUAUGUGCAUGUGUGCUCAGUUGUAUCCAACUUUGCAUCCCCACAAACCAUAGCCUGCCAGGCUUCUCUGUCCCUGGGGUUGCCCAGCAAGAAUACUGGAGUGGGUUACUGUUUCCUUCUCCAGGGUAUCUUCCUAAGCCAGGGAUCAAGCCUGUGUCUCCUGCAUUGACAGGCGAUUCUUUACUGCUGAGCCACCAGGGAAGACUCUUUUUAUCUACAUGUAUUAUCAACUAGUUAUGUUGAAAGCAUUUUUAUGAAAGGCAAUAAUAGAGAAUGUGUCAAGAUGAGAGUAGGAGAAAUACAGGAUAAAUAUAAAACCAAGUUAUUUUUCUUGAACCUCUUUGCAUAGCUGCCAUACAAAAGGAACCAUUGGAAAACAACUAUGUUUAUCAUAUGCUUAUAUUUUGGUUUUACUUGCUUUCCCUGUUUUCUCCAAAUCAAUAAUAUUCAGAUAAAAGCAAUAAUAAAAUGAUGACAAUGUAUAAAAAUUACAGGCAGUAUUUUGUACCAGGCUCUAUUUUAAGCACUAUUGUACAGCCUUCCAGUGUCUAUAUGAUGCUGAGGGGGAUAAUCCAAUUUGAAAUCAAGAUAAGGACAGUUUUUAACUUAACAAUGUAACCAUUUCUUUUUAAAACAAGUUGUAGUAUUAAUUUACCAAGAUCACUCUCAAAAAUUAAGUCAACUAAUAUAUUAGGAGCCUGGAUAAAUAAUAUGACACUAGAAUUUAAAUUUCAGCAUCUUAUUAGAAAGUAAAAAGUUUAUUAGAAAACUUGAAAAGUUAUUUUACUAGAAAAAAUAUAUCCAUCCAAUGGCCGCCUAAUUAAAGAUGAAGCAGAAAGAAGAGAGGUCAGAAGUGGGAAUAAAGAAUCAACCUGGAAGAUGGUCUUAGGGUUUCUGUGUGUGGAGAAAAGAAAAGAAGUCAUGUUUUUGAAUAUCCAUUGUUAGUCAGUGAAUGUCCUAUACCCCAGUGAGGUCAGAAGGCACUUGUUUGGACAGUAGGUUAUAUAUCCACUGUGACUGAAGUGUUCAAUGGACUACAACAUCCUUUUCAUAAAAUGUGAAAACUAUUUCUGCACUUGGCCCACAUUCUCUGUGUAUCUCUUUCUGAUAAAUAAGUUACUGUGUUCUCUAUCUCACAUUCUGUAGCUUCAUGCUCGUUUGUCAAAGAUACCUAUUGUUAAGCUUUUACUGAAAGGCUGUUAGUUGUAAUAAGCACAGUAUGAAUAACUCAGCUGUGUUAUCAGAAACAGAACAGCCUAGUAUGUUUUUUUUUUAAUUUUGUUGUUUGAUUUUUAUUUUAAUUUUUUAUAAGGUUGAUUUAUUGGCCUAUAGUAAAGUAUGAUGCACUUGAUGGCUCCCAAGCCUAACUGAAUUCAGUUUUAACUGCAAAUUUCAGACAUAAAGGAGCUGACACUGGGGAAUAAACAUUCUAUCAAUAUGUUUCACAAUUAUGGGAUCGACUACUUUUCUUAAUUUGGGAGAUGAACAUUCUUAAGUUGAAGAUCCUUAUUUCAUAUCAAUUUAUUACAUGUGAUUUUUUUUUUUCCUGUACUUGAAUUGUGUUUUAUAGCAGCUAAUAUGUUAGCAGUACUGUCUAGGGUGAAUUAUCUUAAAGUGGUUUCUAAAUUGUGCAUGUAAUUGCAAAUUAAACAGUAGCCGAUUGCCCACAA
Long non-coding RNA from Bubalus bubalis (water buffalo), 2262 nucleotides. RefSeq lists it as uncharacterized. The transcript is spliced from 2 exons. The record is from RefSeq and is a predicted model, not a curated record. Lineage: Eukaryota; Metazoa; Chordata; Mammalia; Artiodactyla; Bovidae.